Molecule: ribosomal RNA, 2927 nt
Filed under: Escherichia coli
Lineage: Bacteria; Pseudomonadati; Pseudomonadota; Gammaproteobacteria; Enterobacterales; Enterobacteriaceae
Description: bacterial LSU rRNA
Rfam family: Bacterial large subunit ribosomal RNA
Source: RNAcentral
GGGUUGUGAGGUUAAGCGACUAAGCGUACACGGUGGAUGCCCUGGCAGUCAGAGGCGAUGAAGGACGUGCUAAUCUGCGAUAAGCGUCGGUAAGGUGAUAUGAACCGUUAUAACCGGCGAUUUCCGAAUGGGGAAACCCAGUGUGAUUCGUCACACUAUCAUUAACUGAAUCCAUAGGUUAAUGAGGCGAACCGGGGGAACUGAAACAUCUAAGUACCCCGAGGAAAAGAAAUCAACCGAGAUUCCCCCAGUAGCGGCGAGCGAACGGGGAGCAGCCCAGAGCCUGAAUCAGUGUGUGUGUUAGUGGAAGCGUCUGGAAAGGCGCGCGAUACAGGGUGACAGCCCCGUACACAAAAAUGCACAUGCUGUGAGCUCGAUGAGUAGGGCGGGACACGUGGUAUCCUGUCUGAAUAUGGGGGGACCAUCCUCCAAGGCUAAAUACUCCUGACUGACCGAUAGUGAACCAGUACCGUGAGGGAAAGGCGAAAAGAACCCCGGCGAGGGGAGUGAAAAAGAACCUGAAACCGUGUACGUACAAGCAGUGGGAGCACGCUUAGGCAUGUGACUGCGUACCUUUUGUAUAAUGGGUCAGCGACUUAUAUUCUGUAGCAAGGUUAACCGAAUAGGGGAGCCGAAGGGAAACCGAGUCUUAACUGGGCGUUAAGUUGCAGGGUAUAGACCCGAAACCCGGUGAUCUAGCCAUGGGCAGGUUGAAGGUUGGGUAACACUAACUGGAGGACCGAACCGACUAAUGUUGAAAAAUUAGCGGAUGACUUGUGGCUGGGGGUGAAAGGCCAAUCAAACCGGGAGAUAGCUGGUUCUCCCCGAAAGCUAUUUAGGUAGCGCCUCGUGAAUUCAUCUCCGGGGGUAGAGCACUGUUUCGGCAAGGGGGUCAUCCCGACUUACCAACCCGAUGCAAACUGCGAAUACCGGAGAAUGUUAUCACGGGAGACACACGGCGGGUGCUAACGUCCGUCGUGAAGAGGGAAACAACCCAGACCGCCAGCUAAGGUCCCAAAGUCAUGGUUAAGUGGGAAACGAUGUGGGAAGGCCCAGACAGCCAGGAUGUUGGCUUAGAAGCAGCCAUCAUUUAAAGAAAGCGUAAUAGCUCACUGGUCGAGUCGGCCUGCGCGGAAGAUGUAACGGGGCUAAACCAUGCACCGAAGCUGCGGCAGCGACGCUUAUGCGUUGUUGGGUAGGGGAGCGUUCUGUAAGCCUGCGAAGGUGUGCUGUGAGGCAUGCUGGAGGUAUCAGAAGUGCGAAUGCUGACAUAAGUAACGAUAAAGCGGGUGAAAAGCCCGCUCGCCGGAAGACCAAGGGUUCCUGUCCAACGUUAAUCGGGGCAGGGUGAGUCGACCCCUAAGGCGAGGCCGAAAGGCGUAGUCGAUGGGAAACAGGUUAAUAUUCCUGUACUUGGUGUUACUGCGAAGGGGGGACGGAGAAGGCUAUGUUGGCCGGGCGACGGUUGUCCCGGUUUAAGCGUGUAGGCUGGUUUUCCAGGCAAAUCCGGAAAAUCAAGGCUGAGGCGUGAUGACGAGGCACUACGGUGCUGAAGCAACAAAUGCCCUGCUUCCAGGAAAAGCCUCUAAGCAUCAGGUAACAUCAAAUCGUACCCCAAACCGACACAGGUGGUCAGGUAGAGAAUACCAAGGCGCUUGAGAGAACUCGGGUGAAGGAACUAGGCAAAAUGGUGCCGUAACUUCGGGAGAAGGCACGCUGAUAUGUAGGUGAAGUCCCUCGCGGAUGGAGCUGAAAUCAGUCGAAGAUACCAGCUGGCUGCAACUGUUUAUUAAAAACACAGCACUGUGCAAACACGAAAGUGGACGUAUACGGUGUGACGCCUGCCCGGUGCCGGAAGGUUAAUUGAUGGGGUUAGCCGCAAGGCGAAGCUCUUGAUCGAAGCCCCGGUAAACGGCGGCCGUAACUAUAACGGUCCUAAGGUAGCGAAAUUCCUUGUCGGGUAAGUUCCGACCUGCACGAAUGGCGUAAUGAUGGCCAGGCUGUCUCCACCCGAGACUCAGUGAAAUUGAACUCGCUGUGAAGAUGCAGUGUACCCGCGGCAAGACGGAAAGACCCCGUGAACCUUUACUAUAGCUUGACACUGAACAUUGAGCCUUGAUGUGUAGGAUAGGUGGGAGGCUUUGAAGUGUGGACGCCAGUCUGCAUGGAGCCGACCUUGAAAUACCACCCUUUAAUGUUUGAUGUUCUAACGUGGACCCGUGAUCCGGGUUGCGGACAGUGUCUGGUGGGUAGUUUGACUGGGGCGGUCUCCUCCUAAAGAGUAACGGAGGAGCACGAAGGUUGGCUAAUCCUGGUCGGACAUCAGGAGGUUAGUGCAAUGGCAUAAGCCAGCUUGACUGCGAGCGUGACGGCGCGAGCAGGUGCGAAAGCAGGUCAUAGUGAUCCGGUGGUUCUGAAUGGAAGGGCCAUCGCUCAACGGAUAAAAGGUACUCCGGGGAUAACAGGCUGAUACCGCCCAAGAGUUCAUAUCGACGGCGGUGUUUGGCACCUCGAUGUCGGCUCAUCACAUCCUGGGGCUGAAGUAGGUCCCAAGGGUAUGGCUGUUCGCCAUUUAAAGUGGUACGCGAGCUGGGUUUAGAACGUCGUGAGACAGUUCGGUCCCUAUCUGCCGUGGGCGCUGGAGAACUGAGGGGGGCUGCUCCUAGUACGAGAGGACCGGAGUGGACGCAUCACUGGUGUUCGGGUUGUCAUGCCAAUGGCACUGCCCGGUAGCUAAAUGCGGAAGAGAUAAGUGCUGAAAGCAUCUAAGCACGAAACUUGCCCCGAGAUGAGUUCUCCCUGACUCCUUGAGAGUCCUGAAGGAACGUUGAAGACGACGACGUUGAUAGGCCGGGUGUGUAAGCGCAGCGAUGCGUUGAGCUAACCGGUACUAAUGAACCGUGAGGCUUAACCUUACAACGCCGAAG